GAUGAACGCUGGCGGCGUGCUUAACACAUGCAAGUCGAACGGAAAGGCUCCUGCUUGCAGGGGUACUCGAGUGGCGAACGGGUGAGUAACACGUGGGUGAUCUGCCCUGCACUUCGGGAUAAGCCUGGGAAACUGGGGCUAAUACCGGAUAGGACCACCUUUUGGAUGGUGUGGUGGAAAGUUUUUCGGUGUGGGAUGAGCUCGCGGCCUAUCAGCUUGUUGGUGGGGUAAUGGCCCACCAAGGCGUCGACGGGUAGCCGGCCUGAGAGGGUGUACGGCCACAUUGGGGCGGAGAUACGGGCCAGAAUCCUACGGGAGGCAGCAGUGGGGAAUAUUGCACAAUGGGCGCAAGCCUGAUGCAGCGACGCCGCGUGGGGGAUGACGGCCUUCGGGUUGUAAACUCCUUUCGCUAGCGACGAAGCGUUUUUGUGACGGUACCUGGAGAAGAAGCACCGGCUAACUACGUG
Molecule: ribosomal RNA, 467 nt
Filed under: uncultured bacterium
Lineage: Bacteria
Description: partial 16S ribosomal RNA
Rfam family: Bacterial small subunit ribosomal RNA
Source: RNAcentral